CUAAAAAAGUCCCAUGUGGUCAGGAGUGGAGAGAGAAUUUAGUGGGAGGGGACAGCUUGAAAAAAAGGUUGCAAAUUCCUUUUGGGACCACACUUUGUACCCGCAGACUCUUCCUCUGAUGUGCUCAUUUAAUUUUUUCCUGAGCCAAAUUGAUACAUAUUUAUCCAGUACAGACUAUUUCUUUGAGUGAUAAAGACUUCCAUCAACAGUGGUUUUUAUUUUUUUAUGCAAAAGAGAAUAUCAUGCUCUGGAAGCGGCAAGGGGCAAAGCAGACCCCACUAGCCUCCUAAAACCGUCCUGGCUUGAUGUCAGUGUUUAUCUCUGACACGGUUAUCUCUUACAACAGCCAAAACUCCAUGUGUCCUAGGGGUUUCUUUCUUGAUUGAAUUUGGAUCAGAAAGCCACACUCACUUAACAGUCAUCCUAGUUCCUUG
RNAcentral lists this long non-coding RNA (434 nucleotides) under Bos taurus (domestic cattle). RNAcentral describes it as "long non-coding RNA NONBTAT001776". The record is from RNAcentral. Lineage: Eukaryota; Metazoa; Chordata; Mammalia; Artiodactyla; Bovidae.